UAGGGAAUCUUCGGCAAUGGGGGGAACCCUGACCGAGCAACGCCGCGUGAGUGAAGAAGGUUUUCGGAUCGUAAAGCUCUGUUGUUAAGGAAGAACGAGUGUGAGAAUGGAAAGUUCAUGCUGUGACGGUACUUAACCAGAAAGGGACGGCUAACUACGUGCCAGCAGCCGCGGUAAUACGUAGGUGGCAAGCGUUGUCCGGAUUUAUUGGGCGUAAAGCGAGCGCAGGCGGUCAAUUAAGUCUGAUGUGAAAGCCCCCGGCUCAACCGGGGAGGGUCAUUGGAAACUGGUUGACUUGAGUGCAGAAGAGGAGAGUGGAAUUCCAUGUGUAGCGGUGAAAUGCGUAGAUAUAUGGAGGAAUACCGGUGGCGAAGGCGACUUUCUGGCCAUAAUCUGACGCUGAGGUACGAAAGCGUGGGUAGCAAACAGG
RNAcentral lists this ribosomal RNA (430 nucleotides) under Bacteroidota bacterium. RNAcentral's name for it is "Bacteroidetes bacterium partial 16S ribosomal RNA". It matches the Rfam family "Bacterial small subunit ribosomal RNA", at positions 355 to 776 of the family's 1533-position model. Lineage: Bacteria; Pseudomonadati; Bacteroidota. The record is from RNAcentral.